UACGGGAGGCAGCAGUGGGGAAUAUUGCACAAUGGGCGCAAGCCUGAUGCAGCCAUGCCGCGUGUAUGAAGAAGGCCUUCGGGUUGUAAAGUACUUUCAGUCGUGAGGAAGGUGUUAAGGUUAAUAACCUUAGCAAUUGACGUUAGCGACAGAAGAAGCACCGGCUAACUCCGUGCCAGCAGCCGCGGUAAUACGGAGGGUGCGAGCGUUAAUCGGAAUUACUGGGCGUAAAGGGCACGCAGGCGGUUAAUUAAGUUGGAUGUGAAAUCCCCGGGCUUAACCUGGGAAUGGCAUUCAAGACUGGUUAGCUAGAGUCUUGUAGAGGGGGUAGAAUUCCAUGUGUAGCGGUGAAAUGCGUAGAGAUGUGGAGGAAUACCGGUGGCGAAGGCGGCCCCUGGGACAAAGACUGACGCUCAUGUGCGAAAGCGUGGGGAGCGAAACAGGGAUUAGAU
RNAcentral lists this ribosomal RNA (452 nucleotides) under uncultured bacterium. RNAcentral describes it as "bacterial SSU rRNA". It matches the Rfam family "Bacterial small subunit ribosomal RNA", at positions 340 to 783 of the family's 1533-position model. The record is from RNAcentral.